AUUGAACGCUGGCGGCAUGCCUUACACAUGCAAGUCGAACGGCAGCACGGGAGCAAUCCUGGUGGCGAGUGGCGAACGGGUGAGUAAUAUAUCGGAACGUGCCCAGUAGUGGGGGAUAGCCCGGCGAAAGCCGGAUUAAUACCGCAUACGACCUGUGGGUGAAAGCGGGGGAUCGCAAGACCUCGCGCUAUUGGAGCGGCCGAUAUCAGAUUAGCUAGUUGGUGGGGUAAAGGCCUACCAAGGCGACGAUCUGUAGCUGGUCUGAGAGGACGACCAGCCACACUGGGACUGAGACACGGCCCAGACUCCUACGGGAGGCAGCAGUGGGGAAUUUUUGGACAAUGGGCGCAAGCCUGAUCCAGCCAUGCCGCGUGGGAAGAAGGCCUCGGUUGUAACC
RNAcentral lists this ribosomal RNA (397 nucleotides) under uncultured bacterium. RNAcentral's name for it is "bacterial SSU rRNA". It matches the Rfam family "Bacterial small subunit ribosomal RNA", at positions 29 to 430 of the family's 1533-position model. The record is from RNAcentral.